This 243-nucleotide ribosomal RNA is filed under the name Cryptosporidium parvum. Its description in RNAcentral is "partial small subunit ribosomal RNA". The stretch from base 96 to 243 matches the Rfam family "Eukaryotic small subunit ribosomal RNA", at positions 751 to 903 of the family's 1831-position model. Lineage: Eukaryota; Apicomplexa; Conoidasida; Eucoccidiorida; Cryptosporidiidae. The record is from RNAcentral.
UUGGAUUUCUGUUAAUAAUUUAUAUAAAAUAUUUUGAUGAAUAUUUAUAUAAUAUUAACAUAAUUCAUAUUACUAUAUAUUUUAGUAUAUGAAAUUUUACUUUGAGAAAAUUAGAGUGCUUAAAGCAGGCAUAUGCCUUGAAUACUCCAGCAUGGAAUAAUAUUAAAGAUUUUUAUCUUUCUUAUUGGUUCUAAGAUAAGAAUAAUGAUUAAUAGGGACAGUUGGGGGCAUUUGUAUUUAACA